This 254-nucleotide ribosomal RNA is filed under the name uncultured bacterium. RNAcentral's name for it is "partial 16S ribosomal RNA". It matches the Rfam family "Bacterial small subunit ribosomal RNA", at positions 524 to 776 of the family's 1533-position model. The record is from RNAcentral.
UACGGAGGAUCCAAGCGUUAUCCGGAUUUACUGGGCGUAAAGAGUUGCGUAGGUGGUCUGUUAAGCAAAUAGUGAAAUCUUGUGGCUCAACCAUAAGGCUAUUAUUUGAACUGGCAGACUCGAGAAUGAGAGAGGUCACUGGAAUUCCCUGUGUAGGAGUGAAAUCCGUAGAUAUAGGGAGGAACACCAAUGGCGUAGGCAGGUGACUGGCUCAUUUCUGACACUGAGGCACGAAAGCGUGGGGAGCGAACGGG